This 461-nucleotide ribosomal RNA is filed under the name uncultured bacterium. RNAcentral describes it as "bacterial SSU rRNA". It matches the Rfam family "Bacterial small subunit ribosomal RNA", at positions 28 to 490 of the family's 1533-position model. The record is from RNAcentral.
GAUGAACGCUAGCGGGAGGCCUAACACAUGCAAGUCGAACGGUAGAGGGGGCAACCCCUUGAGAGUGGCGAACGGGUGAGUAAUAUAUCGGAACGUGCCCAGUCGUGGGGGAUAACGUAGCGAAAGUUACGCUAAUACCGCAUACGAUCUAAGGAUGAAAGCGGGGGACCGUAAGGCCUCGCGCGAUUGGAGCGGCCGAUAUCAGAUUAGGUAGUUGGUGGGGUAAAGGCUCACCAAGCCAACGAUCUGUAGCUGGUCUGAGAGGACGACCAGCCACACUAGAACUGAGACACGGUCCAGACUCCUACGGGAGGCAGCAGUGGGGAAUUUGGACAAUGGACGCAAGCCUGAUCCAGCAAUGCCGCGUGCAGGAAGAAGGCCUUGGGUUGUAAACUGCUUUUGUACGGAACGAAACAGUCCUGGUUAAUACCCGGGGCUAAUGACGGUACCGUAAGAAUAAG